UCCCUGGUGGCUCAGAGGUUAAAGCAUCUGCCUGCAAUGUGGGAGACCUGGGUUCGAUCCCUGGGUUGGGAG
Molecule: transfer RNA, 72 nt
Filed under: Ovis aries (sheep)
Lineage: Eukaryota; Metazoa; Chordata; Mammalia; Artiodactyla; Bovidae
Rfam family: tRNA
About the family: Transfer RNA (tRNA) molecules are approximately 80 nucleotides in length. Their secondary structure includes four short double-helical elements and three loops (D, anti-codon, and T loops).
Source: Rfam by way of RNAcentral